Molecule: ribosomal RNA, 238 nt
Filed under: uncultured bacterium
Lineage: Bacteria
Description: partial 16S ribosomal RNA
Rfam family: Bacterial small subunit ribosomal RNA
Source: RNAcentral
GAGUUUGAUCGUGGCUCAGGACAAACGCUGGCGGGGUGCAUGAGACAUGCAAGUCGAACGGGGUUGAGCGGGCUUGCUCGAUCAACCUAGUGGCGGGACGGCUGAGUAACGCGUAGGUGACCUACCCGGAAGUGGGGAAUAACUGCCCGGAAAGGGUGGCUAAUACCGCAUGUGGUCGGCGAUUCGGUUCGCCGUGCAAAGCCGCAAGGCGCUUCCGGAGGGGCCCUGCGUCCGAUUA